RNAcentral lists this ribosomal RNA (1085 nucleotides) under Lactiplantibacillus plantarum. Its description in RNAcentral is "partial 16S ribosomal RNA". The record is from RNAcentral. Lineage: Bacteria; Bacillati; Bacillota; Bacilli; Lactobacillales; Lactobacillaceae.
ACUGGUGAGUAACACGUGGGAAACCUGCCCAGAAGCGGGGGAUAACACCUGGAAACAGAUGCUAAUACCGCAUAACAACUUGGACCGCAUGGUCCGAGUUUGAAAGAUGGCUUCKGCUAUCACUUUUGGAUGGUCCCGCGGCGUAUUAGCUAAUGGUGGKUAACGGCUCACCAUGGCAAUGAUACGUAGCCKACCUGAGAGGGUAAUCGGCCACAUUGGGACUGAGACACGGCCCAAACUCCUACKGGAGGCAGCAGUAGGGAAUCUUCCACAAUGGACGAAAGYCUGAUGGAGCAACGCCGCGUGAGUGAAGAAGGGUUUCGGCUCGUAAAACUCUGUUGUUAAAKAAGAACAUAUCUGAGAGUAACUGUUCAGGUAUUGACGGUAUUUAACCAGAAASCCACSGCUAACUACSUGCCACGCGGAAUACGAGGUGGCAAGCGUUGUCCGGAUUUUGGCGUAAAGAGCGCAGGGGUUUUUUAAGUCUGAUGUGAAAGCCUUCGGCUCAACCGAAGAAAAACUGSAAACUUGAGUGCAGAAGAGGACAKUGGAAYUCCAUGUGUAGCGGUGAAAUGCGUAGAUAUAUGGAAGAACACCAGUGKCGARGGCGGCUGUCUGGCUGUAACUGACGCURASGYUCRWAAKUAWGGGUAGCAAACASGAUUAGAUAYCCUGGUAGUCCAUACCGUAAACGAUGAAUGCUAAGUGUUGGAGGGUUUCCGCCCUUCAGUGCUGCAGCUAACGCAUUAAGCAUUCCGCCUGGGGAGUACGGCCGCAAGGCUGAAACUCAAAGGAAUUGACGGGGGCCCGCACAAGCGGUGGAGCAUGUGGUUUAAUUCGAAGCUACGCGAAGAACCUUACCAGGUCUUGACAUACUAUGCAAAUCUAAGAGAUUAGACGUUCCCUUCGGGGACAUGGAUACAGGUGGUGCAUGGUUGUCGUCAGCUCGUGUCGUGAGAUGUUGGGUUAAGUCCCGCAACGAGCGCAACCCUUAUAUCAGUUGCCAGCAUUAAGUUGGGCACUCUGGUGAGACUGCCGGUGACAACCGGAGAAAGGGGGGAUGACGUCAAAUCAUCAUGCCCCUU